RNAcentral lists this ribosomal RNA (497 nucleotides) under uncultured bacterium. RNAcentral's name for it is "partial 16S ribosomal RNA". It matches the Rfam family "Bacterial small subunit ribosomal RNA", at positions 28 to 507 of the family's 1533-position model. The record is from RNAcentral.
GAUGAACGCUGGCGGCGUGCCUAACACAUGCAAGUCGAGCGGAAGGACGCGAAGCUUGCUGGUCUCUUGUUAGGGGCGGAGGUGUGAGUAACACGUGUAUACCCUCCCUGUAUGACUGGUAUAUCUUCGGGAAACCGGAUCUUACACCGGAUAAUAUCUUGAACCGCAGGGGUCAAAAGUGAAUUUCGGCCUUUCGGGCACGUAUAGAUGGUUCCGCGCUUCUUUGGCUAGUUGGUAAGUUAACGGCUUACCAAGGCAACGAUGCAUAGCCGACCUGAGAGGCUGAUCGCCCGCACUGGAACUGAGACACGGUCCAGACUCCUGCGGGAGGCCGCAGUAGGGAAUCUUACGCAAUGGGGGAAAACAUUACGCAGCAAGCCCGCGUGAGUGAUGAAGGUCUUCGGAUCGUAAAGCCCUCUUUUUAGGGAAAAACAGAUUUGGAAUUAAAUGUGGAGUGCUUGACGGUACCUGAUCAAGAAGCCCCGGCUAACUACGUG